GCCAAGGCGCAGGCCUACACAUGCAAGUCGAGCGAGAUCUUCGGAUCUAGCGGCGGACGGGUGAGUAACGCGUGGGAACGUGCCCUUCUCUACGGAAUAGUCCCGGGAAACUGGGUUUAAUACCGUAUACGCCCUUCGGGGGAAAGAUUUAUCGGAGAAGGAUCGGCCCGCGUUGGAUUAGGUAGUUGGUGGGGUAAUGGCCUACCAAGCCGACGAUCCAUAGCUGGUUUGAGAGGAUGAUCAGCCACACUGGGACUGAGACACGGCCCAGACUCCUACGGGAGGCAGCAGUGGGGAAUCUUAGACAAUGGGCGCAAGCCUGAUCUAGCCAUGCCGCGUGAGUGACGAAGGCCCUAGGGUCGUAAAGCUCUUUCACCAGGGAUGAUAAUGACAGUACCUGGAGAAGAAACCCCGGCUAACUCCGUGCCAGCAGCCGCGGUAAUACGGAGGGGGUUAGCGUUGUUCGGAAUUACUGGGCGUAAAGCGCGCGUAGGCGGGCUGUUAAGUCGGGGGUGAAAUCCCGGGGCUCAACCCCGGAACUGCCCUCGAUACUGGCAGCC
This 560-nucleotide ribosomal RNA is filed under the name Roseicyclus sp. RNAcentral's name for it is "bacterial SSU rRNA". It matches the Rfam family "Bacterial small subunit ribosomal RNA", at positions 35 to 641 of the family's 1533-position model. The record is from RNAcentral. Lineage: Bacteria; Pseudomonadati; Pseudomonadota; Alphaproteobacteria; Rhodobacterales; Roseobacteraceae.